This 700-nucleotide long non-coding RNA is filed under the name Capra hircus (goat). RNAcentral's name for it is "lncRNA (ENSCHIG00000004106.1)". Lineage: Eukaryota; Metazoa; Chordata; Mammalia; Artiodactyla; Bovidae. The record is from RNAcentral.
CUUCUUCAGAUAAAUGGUUGCACUUCCAUCGGAUAUUUUCCAGUCCCUCCAAUCAUCAGGCUCGGGUAAACAGAUGACCAUCUCAGUCCCCCAGCCCUGGCGGCACUUCACGACCUUGGCUUGUCUGACACUGCCCCCCACCCCCACUGCCCCUGGAAGGAUGUUUUGAAAAGCAACAUUUUCCCUCCAUCAGGGUUCCUCUUUCUCCCUCGCCCCGUUGUCUUGCUGGAUGCGGGGGCGGCCGAAUGGGGGCUCGGGGGCCUGAGAAAAGAGGUGAAAAAAAACCCAACUUGUGAAAACCCAAGAGAAACCGAAAGACAUGAACACUGGAAAAAAAGAAAACAGAAAAAGAGCUUCUUCAGGACCCAGGCGGUUAAGGAACUGGCCUCGACAGGAAGUGGGCAGGAGGCUGUUUGCAGUGCGCUCAUGGGAACUGAGUUGGAAAGUGCUGUGCCCUCUGAUCUGCAUUUCCUGGAUUCUGAAGAGCAAACAACAAGCAAGCAACAUUCAACAACAGGGAGCCGCCACCACCGUGUACUGUGCCGUCGCCCCGGAGCUGGAGGGCCUGGGGGGGAUGUACUUCAACAGCUGCUGCCGCUGCCUGCCGUCAGCCGAAGCCCAGAGUGAAGACUCCGCGCGGGCCCUGUGGGCGCUGAGUGAGCGGCUGCUUCAGGGGGCACCCGGCGGCCCGCCCUCCUAG